Molecule: ribosomal RNA, 794 nt
Filed under: uncultured Pelagibacteraceae bacterium
Lineage: Bacteria; Pseudomonadati; Pseudomonadota; Alphaproteobacteria; Candidatus Pelagibacterales; Candidatus Pelagibacteraceae
Description: bacterial SSU rRNA
Rfam family: Bacterial small subunit ribosomal RNA
Source: RNAcentral
GGCACGCCUAAUACAUGCAAGUCGAACGAAGUAGCAAUACUUAGUGGCAGACGGGUGAGUAACAUGUGGGUAUCUUCCCUAUGGUGAGGAAUAACACGAGGAAACUUGUGCUAAUACCUCAUAAGUCUUUACGGAGAAAGCUUUAUGCGCCAUUGGAUGAGCCCGCACUUGAUUAGUUUGUUGGUGGGGUAAUGGCCUACCAAGACAAUGAUCAAUAGCUGAUUUGAGAGGAUGAUCAGCCACAUUGGGACUGAGACACGGCCCAAACUUCUACGGAAGGCAGCAGUAGGGAAUCUUGCACAAUGGAGGAAACUCUGAUGCAGCGAUGCCGCGUGAGUGAAGAAGGCCCUUGGGUUGUAAAGCUCUUUCGUCGGGGAAGAAAAUGACUGUACCCGAAUAAGAAGGUCCGGCUAACUUCGUGCCAGCAGCCGCGGUAAUACGAAGGGACCUAGCGUAGUUCGGAAUUACUGGGCUUAAAGAGUUCGUAGGUGGUUAAAAAAGUUGGUGGUGAAAUCCCAGAGCUUAACUCUGGAACUGCCAUCAAAACUUUUUAGCUAGAGUAUGAUAGAGGAAAGCAGAAUUUCUAGUGUAGAGGUGAAAUUCGUAGAUAUUAGAAAGAAUACCAAUUGCGAAGGCAGCUUUCUGGAUCAUUACUGACACUGAGGAACGAAAGCAUGGGUAGCGAAGAGGAUUAGAUACCCUCGUAGUCCAUGCCGUAAACGAUGUGUGUUAGACGUUGGAAAUUUUUUUUCAGUGUCGCAGCGAAAGCAAUAAACACACCGCCUGGGGAGUAC